This 582-nucleotide ribosomal RNA is filed under the name uncultured bacterium. RNAcentral's name for it is "partial 16S ribosomal RNA". It matches the Rfam family "Bacterial small subunit ribosomal RNA", at positions 355 to 935 of the family's 1533-position model. The record is from RNAcentral.
UGGGGAAUUUUGGACAAUGGGCGAAAGCCUGAUCCAGCAAUGCCGCGUGUGUGAAGAAGGCCUUCGGGUUGUAAAGCACUUUUGUCCGGAAAGAAAUCCUUGGCUCUAAUACAGUCGGGGGAUGACGGUACCGGAAGAAUAAGCACCGGCUAACUACGUGCCAGCAGCCGCGGUAAUACGUAGGGUGCAAGCGUUAAUCGGAAUUACUGGGCGUAAAGCGUGCGCAGGCGGUUUGCUAAGACCGAUGUGAAAUCCCCGGGCUCAACCUGGGAACUGCAUUGGUGACUGGCAGGCUAGAGUAUGGCAGAGGGGGGUAGAAUUCCACGUGUAGCAGUGAAAUGCGUAGAGAUGUGGAGGAAUACCGAUGGCGAAGGCAGCCCCCUGGGGCCAAUACUGACGCUCAUGCACGAAAGCGUGGGGAGCAAACAGGAUUAGAUACCCUGGUAGUCCACGCCCUAAACGAUGUCAACUAGUUGUUGGGGAUUCAUUUCCUAGUAACGUAGCUAACGCGUGAAGUUGACCGCCUGGGGAGUACGGUCGCAAGAUUAAAACUCAAAGGAAUUGACGGGGUCAUAGCUGUUU